UACGGAGGGUGCAAGCGUUAUCCGGAUUUACUGGGUUUAAAGGGUGCGUAGGCGGGUUGAUAAGUCAGUGGUGAAAUACCCGAGCUUAACUUGGGAACUGCCAUUGAUACUGUCAAUCUUGAAUUUGGUAGAGGUGGGCGGAAUAUAACAUGUAGCGGUGAAAUGCUUAGAUAUGUUAUAGAACACCAAUUGCGUAGGCAGCUCACUAUGCCAACAUUGACGCUGAGGCACGAAAGCGUGGGUAGCGAACAGG
RNAcentral lists this ribosomal RNA (253 nucleotides) under uncultured bacterium. Its description in RNAcentral is "partial 16S ribosomal RNA". It matches the Rfam family "Bacterial small subunit ribosomal RNA", at positions 524 to 776 of the family's 1533-position model. The record is from RNAcentral.